Molecule: ribosomal RNA, 938 nt
Filed under: uncultured beta proteobacterium
Lineage: Bacteria; Pseudomonadati; Pseudomonadota; Betaproteobacteria
Description: bacterial SSU rRNA
Rfam family: Bacterial small subunit ribosomal RNA
Source: RNAcentral
AGAGUUUGAUCCUGGCUCAGGAUGAACGCUGAUGCUUUACACUGCAAGUCGAACGGUAACAGGUUAAGCUGACGAGUGGCGAACGGGUGAGUAAUGCAUCGGAACGUGCCCGGUCGUGGGGGAUAACGCAGCGAAAGCUGCGCUAAUACCGCAUACGAUCUGAGGAUGAAAGCGGGGGACCGUAAGGCCUCGCGCGAUCGGAGCGGCCGAUGUCAGAUUAGGUAGUUGGUGGGGUAAAGGCUCACCAAGCCGACGAUCUGUAGCUGGUCUGAGAGGACGACCAGCCACACUGGGACUGAGACACGGCCCAGACUCCUACGGGAGGCAGCAGUGGGGAAUUUUGGACAAUGGGCGCAAGCCUGAUCCAGCAAUGCCGCGUGCAGGAAGAAGGCCUUCGGGUUGUAAACUGCUUUUGUACGGAGCGAAAAGGUCUUCCCUAAUACGGGAGGCUGAUGACGGUACCGUAAGAAUAAGCACCGGCUAACUACGUGCCAGCAGCCGCGGUAAUACGUAGGGUGCGAGCGUUAAUCGGAAUUACUGGGCGUAAAGCGUGCGCAGGCGGUUUUGUAAGACAGGCGUGAAAUCCCCGGGCUCAACCUGGGAAUGGCGCUUGUGACUGCAAAGCUGGAGUGCGGCAGAGGGGGAUGGAAUUCCGCGUGUAGCAGUGAAAUGCGUAGAUAUGCGGAGGAACACCGAUGGCGAAAGCAAUCCCCUGGGCCUGCACUGACGCUCAUGCACGAAAGCGUGGGGAGCAAACAGGAUUAGAUACCCUGUAGUCCACGCCCUAAACGAUGUCAACUGGUUGUUGGGUCUUUACUGACUCAGUAACGAAGCUAACGCGUGAAGUUGACCGCCUGGGGAGUACGGCCGCAAGGUGAAACUCAAAGGAAUUGACGGACCCGCACAGCGUGAUGAUGUAGUAUCGAUGCACGCGAAAA